RNAcentral lists this ribosomal RNA (450 nucleotides) under uncultured bacterium. RNAcentral's name for it is "bacterial SSU rRNA". It matches the Rfam family "Bacterial small subunit ribosomal RNA", at positions 354 to 796 of the family's 1533-position model. The record is from RNAcentral.
GUGGGGAAUUUUGGACAAUGGGCGCAAGCCUGAUCCAGCCAUGCCGCGUGCAGGAUGAAGGCCUUCGGGUUGUAAACUGCUUUUGUACGGAACGAAAAGACUCUGGUUAAUACCUGGGGUCCAUGACGGUACCGUAAGAAUAAGCACCGGCUAACUACGUGCCAGCAGCCGCGGUAAUACGUAGGGUGCGAGCGUUAAUCGGAAUUACUGGGCGUAAAGCGUGCGCAGGCGGUUAUGUAAGACAGAUGUGAAAUCCCCGGGCUCAACCUGGGAACUGCAUUUGUGAAUGCAGAGCUAGAGUACGGCAGAGGGGGAUGGAAUUCCGCGUGUAGCAGUGAAAUGCGUAGAUAUGCGGAGGAACACCGAUGGCGAAGGCAAUCCCCUGGGCCUGUACUGACGCUCAUGCACGAAAGCGUGGGGAGCAAACAGGAUUAGAUACCCGUGUAGUCC